RNAcentral lists this long non-coding RNA (562 nucleotides) under Pan troglodytes (chimpanzee). RNAcentral's name for it is "long non-coding RNA NONPTRT014554". Lineage: Eukaryota; Metazoa; Chordata; Mammalia; Primates; Hominidae. The record is from RNAcentral.
GGCGGGGAGCAGGGUGAGGGCUCCAGCAUGGCAGGCUGCAGGUCCCGAGCCCUGCCCCCUUGCCCCGCGGGGAGGUGGCUGAGGCCCAGCGAAAAUUCGAGCGCGGCGCCGGCGGGCCAUCACUGUUGGGGGACCCGGUGCACCCUCCGCAGCUGCUGGCCCGGGUGCUAAGCCUCUCUCACUGCCCAGGGCCGGCGGCGCCAGCCGACCGCUCAGAGUGCGGGGCGCGCCGAACCCGCGCCCACCCGGAAGUCGCGCUGGACCUGCGAGCACCGCAGGCAGCCCAGGUUCCGGCCCGCGCCUCUCCCUCCACACCUCCCCGCGGGCAGAGGGAGCCCGCUCAGGCCUCAGCCAGCACAGAGAGGGGCUCCCACGGUGCAGCUGCGGGCUGAAGGGCUCCUCAAGCGCGGCCAGAGUGGGCUGAGGCCGAGGAGGCGCCGAGAGCCAGCGAGGGAUGCCAGCAAGCUGUCACCUCUCAGAAAUCCAGGAAGAACAUCAAUAAUGUUCGAAGUUAUAAAUUGCGGAGGCCAGAAGUCAGAAAACAAGGUGUCUGCAGGACCAG